RNAcentral lists this ribosomal RNA (429 nucleotides) under Chloroflexota bacterium. RNAcentral's name for it is "Chloroflexi bacterium partial 16S ribosomal RNA". It matches the Rfam family "Bacterial small subunit ribosomal RNA", at positions 355 to 776 of the family's 1533-position model. The record is from RNAcentral. Lineage: Bacteria; Bacillati; Chloroflexota.
UGGGGAAUAUUGCACAAUGGGCGCAAGCCUGAUGCAGCCAUGCCGCGUGUAUGAAGAAGGCCUUCGGGUUGUAAAGUACUUUCAGUCGGGAGGAAGGUGGUAAGGUUAAUAACCUUAUCAAUUGACGUUACCGACAGAAGAAGCACCGGCUAACUCCGGGCCAGCAGCCGCGGUAAUACGGAGGGUGCAAGCGUUAAUCGGAAUUACUGGGCGUAAAGCGCACGCAGGCGGUUGAUUGAGUCAGAUGUGAAAUCCCCGGGCUUAACCCGGGAAUUGCAUCUGAUACUGGUCAGCUAGAGUCUUGUAGAGGGGGGUAGAAUUCCAUGUGUAGCGGUGAAAUGCGUAGAGAUGUGGAGGAAUACCGGUGGCGAAGGCGGCCCCCUGGACAAAGACUGACGCUCAGGUGCGAAAGCGUGGGGAGCAAACAGG